UGAGCUGAAGGAGAACAAA
RNAcentral lists this small RNA (19 nucleotides) under Arabidopsis thaliana (thale cress). RNAcentral describes it as "ATSL055570". Lineage: Eukaryota; Viridiplantae; Streptophyta; Magnoliopsida; Brassicales; Brassicaceae. The record is from RNAcentral.